RNAcentral lists this ribosomal RNA (497 nucleotides) under uncultured bacterium. RNAcentral describes it as "partial 16S ribosomal RNA". It matches the Rfam family "Bacterial small subunit ribosomal RNA", at positions 38 to 507 of the family's 1533-position model. The record is from RNAcentral.
GGGGGGGGGGGGGGGGGGGCCUAGGACAUGCAGGGCGGGGGAACAGACGAGGAGCUUGCUCCUCUGACGUUAGCGGCGGACGGGUGAGUAACACGUGGAUACCCUACCUAUAAGACUGGGAUAACUUCGGGAAACCGGAGCUAAUACCGGAUAAUAUAUUGAACCGCAUGGUUCAAUAGUGAAAGACGGUUUUGCUGUCACUUAUAGAUGGAUCCGCGCCGCAUUAGCUAGUUGGUAAGGUAACGGCUUACCAAGGCAACGAUGCGUAGCCGACCUGAGAGGGUGAUCGGCCACACUGGAACUGAGACACGGUCCAGACUCCUACGGGAGGCAGCAGUAGGGAAUCUUCCGCAAUGGGCGAAAGCCUGACGGAGCAACGCCGCGUGAGUGAUGAAGGUCUUCGGAUCGUAAAACUCUGUUAUUAGGGAAGAACAAAUGUGUAAGUAACUAUGCACGUCUUGACGGUACCUAAUCAGAAAGCCACGGCUAACUACGUG